RNAcentral lists this long non-coding RNA (2363 nucleotides) under Cottoperca gobio. Its description in RNAcentral is "lncRNA (ENSCGOG00000016894.1)". Lineage: Eukaryota; Metazoa; Chordata; Actinopteri; Perciformes; Bovichtidae. The record is from RNAcentral.
UAAUUAUUUUGUUUUAAUUGCUAAUCAUGUGCGCAAAAAAAAAUCCUCCAAAUCAGCAUAUGCUCUUUGUGUCACAGUUUGCUUAUCUCCCCACCUCCACCUCCACCUCACCAGCCAGCCAGACACUCCCACCUCAUCAGCUCACCUGGGCUCCAGCUGCGUCUCAUGUCCAAUCAAGACAGUAUAGCUCUUUGCUGCCAGCAGCUGGUAGGGAUGGAUGUCUCAGAUGCUGGUGCUGACUGAUGGGCAGCUCUUAGCCAAACCUCACGGGGGCUUCUCAAGGAAGCUCGUGGCCUGAGAGACACAGACGAGACUGAUGAGAAUUCUGAGGUGUGCUGAUCGACCGGUCUGCCAUCAACACCCUGCAGCCCCUCCCUCUGCUCCACCCUCGACUGCAGAGCCAAGCCAGUGUGUCUUUGUGUUGAUGCCAACCUAUGUGUAUAUGUGUGUAUGUUAAUACAUGUAUACACUUUUUUUUUUUUUUACAGUAGUUCAGGUCUUAGGAGUCACUAAUACAGUAAUGAAAGUACAUUUACGAUGAAAACGAUGUGAAAGUGGUCGCCCAUAGUGAUGAACUACAGAGAAUUAUCACCUGAAUCUGCAGCUCCCCUCUGCUUCAGCUAUAGAUACUGAUUUUCAGCUCAUUGUUUAACUUUCUGACCUUCAACAUUCCCACUUUGGUUCACCCUUUUAGGCCGCAGCUCUAAAAAAGCUCUGAUAAAGCCAAUGUACACUAACUGCACAGCAGCAAUCAGCAGGCAAACACAGUUAGAGACUAGUUUGGUCAACAUUGAGGAACAUUUAGCAACUAAAGAGACGGAUAAUUUUCUCACAAGUUGAAACAAACACAAUUUAAAAUGAAUGAUGAUGUUUCUGUGUCUGUCGGAUGUGUGAAUAAGCAACUGUUUGCAAUAUGUACAUUUUUAAACUUGUUUCUGCUGAACCCAAUUGGCCAUGACAUUUCAGUUAUUGCAGCUUUAAGUACAAUUAUAAGGCACUGUAGGCUUUCUUCCAUUUUAUUCUACUUUAAAGUUCUGCUUCACUCCAUUUCUUAACCAUAUGGCAAAGUGGGUAUGAUGUGUACUCGACCUGCUCCCAGCAUCACACUUUUAUUUACCUUUCAAACUUCGCCAUUUUCAAAAUAAACUAUUUGUAAUAGUUUUAUGAGUCAUUGUUGACUACCCACCAAUGUCAAAUGACGUAGAAGCUAUUAAGCUAUUAAAAAAAAACUUUUUUUUCCAUUAAUAACUGGAAAACUCAGUUUAUAUGGAACAAAAUAAUCCCCAGAAUUCGGAGAGGCAUUCUUAAAAAAAACAAUUAAAUGGGUGGUUGAGCAUCACUUAACUUUUAUUGUAUUACUAUAUUGCAUUGUUGUGGUAUUAACAUCAACUCCCAACCUGGCUACAGACUGAGGACGCCUCUUGAGGUUCUUCCUCUAUGAAUUCCCUCUUGUGCUCCCCCUGUCAUUAUCAUCUUCAAAACACUCCAAAGAUAUUAUAGUUAACGGUAUGGGCUCAAUUUAAACGUCACUUUGGAUUCCAGGAAAUACCUCUUCUGUCCCCUGUAGAUCCCAAUCUGCUGUUCCCUCCAUCUAUUAUUGAUGGGGCUUUUGCAACCUGGGAAAACCAUGGGGUUGUCCCUGUAAAUCAUCUUUACAUUGAUGGAACAUUUGCAUCUUUUCAACAGCUAACUAGUGUAUUCAAUUUACCGUGACUUUGUUCGUAAUCGUUUCCCUGAUUUGCCCACUAUUCCUCCUUCUACCUGGGCUGACACAAUUUUCGAUAUCAAGCCUUACCUCAAGGGUACCAUUUCAAAGAUAUACAACACUCUCUCCACAUGCCAGCCUUCAGCCUCAGAUAAUAUACGCACUAUUUGGUACGAGGAUCUCAAUAUAGAGAUAGAGACUGGGGUUUGGCAGUCAGUUGUGAAACAUGUCCACUUGUCAUCUAUUUGUGCCUGCCACGGGGUCUUACAAUUUAAAGUAGUCCACAGAGUCCACUGGUCUAAAAGUAAACUACCUCGCACGUAACCUGGCACAAUCUCAGCGACAUGUUUUGGACCUGCCCUACCUCUAAUUUGGAAGUAUUUUUUGACUCACUCUCAGCCAUGACAGUUUUCACCCGUCAGCGCUGGUUGGCUUGUUUAGUGUCCUGCCCACUGACCAUUCACUGCCAUCCUAUUACUUUGAACUCUUAGAUUUUCUUUGUUGUGUCGUUGAUAGUCGUACUAUCACAACUACCUCUACCAACCUCACUCUAUACUCUACAAUGCUUUCUUUCAUUUUACCUAUUUACUGGAACAUGGAAUUGGAACAUGGAAGUGUUUUUGUAAUGUAUUGUUGUUGUGUUUGAUGAUAAAAACUC